ACUGGGUUUCAACUGCCACCUGGGAGACUGCUGGUAAAGAUGGGAGGUGGCCUUUGCCGCUUUCCAUCUUCUCACUGCAGUUUCUUCACGUGGGCCACUUGUACUUAAAAUGUCUUCUUAAUUUAUUCUUUUUACUUCCCCAGCUCCAAUUUGUCUACAGAUUUACAAAUUUGUUUUAUAGUUUUAUGACUCAAUUUGUAUUUUCGGUCCUAUGAAGCUUUUUGCCUUAAAUAUUUUUCUCUGUUUAUAAGAAUGUGCUGUUUCCUAGGCCAGUUUUGUACACACUCUUCCAUAGAAUAGAUCCAGAAGAAACACAACAAUACUGCCUUCAUCAUAUCAGGAGAUCUUGAUACCAAAUACGAGUGUUGCCUCCAAGAUGCAAGAUCCUGAGGGCUCCAAAGAAUCCACUGUCCGUCACAAAUCGACGGUCCGCCAGCUCAGUUUCAGAGACGUGGUGCUCCGCUGCAGGCCUCAUCCUCAGGUGCACCCUGGCAGUCAGCCAUCUGAAGGUACUAUGGAAAUUCAGUUACUCACUCUUGGGAGCAGAAGGAUUCCAGACCAUUCCUGUGUGCACCCUGGCAGGGAGCCAUCUGAAGAGGAUAUUUACCAGGCCUCUUUCUGUGAGGAGACCCUGUCCUGGAGUGAUGCCGUGCAUUUGUGUGCUGCCUGGGUGAACACUGCCUACUUCACAGUGAUGAGGGUGGCUUAGACAGAGACCCGAGGCUCUGUCCUCCAGGGCUCUCCUGAUGGUCUCCUUUACCUUCCUUCACCACCAAGGAGGGUGGCCCAGCAGCAGCUCAGCCUGUGCUCUCACCCACCUCCUCUGCACACACCAGUCCUCGUCCUCAGCACCCAAGGCUGCCAGAGGUCCUUCAGCAGCUCCCGUGGCUGACAGUGACUCUACGUUUCCUAGAUUUCAGGGACCACCUGGAGGGGAGCGGACCAGAGAGACUUCCUCGGAAUAGGCUGUGGCUCUUCACAAGGUGUCUUCUAUGCUUUAUUUGGGAGCCAUUGCCUUGAGCGUUAUUUCCCAGAUGGUUUUCUAAUGUCACCAACUGAAGAAAAGACCCAUGCACACAGGACACAGCAUGAUCUGAUGCUCACAGCGUUUUCCUUCCUCUCUGAAAACGGACUCAGCGAUUCUGGCAAGCGGUACUUACUCUGAGAUCACCCGUUUGCUAAGGAAAAAUCUUAGUACUGAGAAAGGUGACACUUUCCUCCCUGCUUUUGCUGGAGAGACACUUUGGUUAUGAGUUAUUUCUAGCAUAACACAGUUUAUUUCAGAAGUCCAGCUCAAUAGCAGACCAAGGCAUGAACAACACAUGAAAAUUUAUGUUGGGAAAAUAUAUAUUGUAUGUCUGCUUG
Homo sapiens (human) is the source of this 1365-nucleotide long non-coding RNA. Ensembl annotates it as long intergenic non-protein coding RNA 1120. The record is from Ensembl. NCBI's taxonomy places the organism in Eukaryota, Metazoa, Chordata, Mammalia, Primates, Hominidae.